GAGCAGGGGGCGCCAUGGAGCAGUAGAGACGGGGUUUCGCCAUAUUGGCCAGGCUGGUCUCCACCUCCGGUGAUCCGCCUGCUUCUGCCUCCCAAAGUGCUGGGAUUACAGGCCUGAGGCACCGCGCCUGGCCUGAAGAAUCUUUUCAAAUGCAACAGGGAGAGGGAUAGUUGUAUCAGAAUGUUUUCAACUAAAACCACCACCUGGAGUGCCAAACUGCAACGGGGACCUAGACAGAUUCAGAUUGUGCCACUGGAGCCCUGGAAUUGGAUUGCUGGAUAGACUCACUGUGUUAAUUUAUUUAAUCUUGGAUCAAGAUCCACAGCAUGGAAGAAGACUGAACCAUCACUUAGAGGAGAGCUGCUUACCCCUCACUGGGUUGUGGCAUGAACAAUAAAUACACUUUUAAGAUACUGAAAUAAAAAAAA
RNAcentral lists this long non-coding RNA (428 nucleotides) under Homo sapiens (human). RNAcentral's name for it is "long independently transcribed non-coding RNA 1946 (LINC01946)". Lineage: Eukaryota; Metazoa; Chordata; Mammalia; Primates; Hominidae. The record is from RNAcentral.